GAUGAAGAACGUAGCGAAACGCGAUAGGUAAUGUGAAUUGCAGAAUUCAGUGAAUCAUCGAAUCUUUGAACGCACCUUGCGCCCUUUGGCCAUUCCGAAGGGCAUGCCUGUUUGAGUAUCAUGAACACCUCAACUCUUUAUGGUUUUCCAUGAUGAGCUUGGACUCUGGGGGUUUUGCUGGCUCACAGUCGGCUCCUCUAAAAUGAAUCAGCUUACCAGUGUUUGGUGGGUAUCAUGGGUGUGAUAACUAUCUACGCUUGUGGUUUUUCCACCAGGUAACCUUCAGCAGUGGAGGUUCGCUGGAGCUCAUAGAUGUCUCUCCUCAGUGAGGACAGCCCUUUGAAUGUUUGAUCUCAAAUCAGGUAGGACUACCCGCUGAACUUAAGCAUAUCAAUAAGCGGAGGA
This 405-nucleotide unclassified non-coding RNA is filed under the name soil metagenome. RNAcentral's name for it is "partial contains 5.8S ribosomal RNA, internal transcribed spacer 2, and large subunit ribosomal RNA". The stretch from base 1 to 121 matches the Rfam family "5.8S ribosomal RNA", at positions 35 to 154 of the family's 154-position model. The record is from RNAcentral.